RNAcentral lists this ribosomal RNA (1217 nucleotides) under metagenome. Its description in RNAcentral is "SSU rRNA". It matches the Rfam family "Eukaryotic small subunit ribosomal RNA", at positions 582 to 1823 of the family's 1831-position model. The record is from RNAcentral.
AUUCCAGCUCCAAUAGCGUAUAUUAUUAUUGUUGCGGUUAAAAAGCUCGUAGUUGGAUCUCGGUUUCGGGCGAGCGGUGUACCUUGCGGUAUUUACUGUUUGCCCGGACGAUUUUGUUGGUUCGUUUAUGGUUCUCUUAACCGAGUGCCAUAAGUGGCCAGCACGUUUACUUUGAAAAAAUUGGAGUGCUCAAAGCAGGCGCUACAGCCUGAACAUUAGUGCAUGGAAUAAUGGAAUAGGAUCUCGGUUCUAUUUCGUUGGCUUUCGGAGUCGAGGUAAUGAUUAAUAGGGACAGACGGGGGCAUUCGUACUGCGACGUUAGAGGUGAAAUUCUUGGAUCGUCGCAAGACGAACUACUGCGAAAGCAUUUGCCAAGAAUGUUUUCAUUAAUCAAGAACGAAAGUUAGAGGUUCGAAGGCGAUCAGAUACCGCCCUAGUUCUAACCAUAAACGAUGUCGACCGGCGAUCCGUUAUCGUUAACUGAAUGACUUAACGGGCAGCCUCCGGGAAACCAGAGUGUUUGGAUUCCGGGGGAAGUAUGGUUGCAAAGCUGAAACUUAAAAGAAUUGACGGAAGGGCACCACCAGGAGUGGAGCCUGCGGCUUAAUUUGACUCAACACGGGAAAUCUCACCAGGCCCGGACACCGGAAGGAUUGACAGAUUGAGAGCUCUUUCUUGAUUCGGUGGGUGGUGGUGCAUGGCCGUUCUUAGUUGGUGGAGCGAUUUGUCUGGUUAAUUCCGAUAACGAACGAGACUCUGGCCUACUAACUAGACGUUAGAUCCCUUUGUGGGUCUAUCGCAGCUUCUUAGAGGGACGGGCGGCGUUUAGCCGCACGAGAUUGAGCAAUAACAGGUCUGUGAUGCCCUUAGAUGUUCUGGGCUGCACGCGCGCUACACUGAAGGAAUCAGCGUGUGUUCCCUACCCGAAAGGGUUGGGAAACCCGUUGAACCUCCUUCGUGAUGGGGAUUGGGGAUUGCAAUUAUUCCCCAUGAACGAGGAAUUCCCAGUAGGCGCGAGUCAUAAGCUUGCGUCGAUUACGUCCCUGCCCUUUGUACACACCGCCCGUCGCUACUACCGAUCGAGUGAUUUAGUGAGGCCUUCGGACUGGUCUUCAGUAUGGCUUUCGGGUCGUGUUGGAGUACCGGAAAGAUGACCAAACUUGAUCACUUAGAGGAAGUAAAAGUCGUAACAAGGUUUCCGUAGGAACCUGCGGAAG